GACCAUGAAGCUCAGUUGGUAGAGCAGCGGACUGUUAAUCCGACGGUUGUGGGUUCGACUCCCACCAUGGUCGCCA
Molecule: transfer RNA, 76 nt
Filed under: Deltaproteobacteria bacterium
Lineage: Bacteria; Pseudomonadati; Myxococcota; Myxococcia
Description: tRNA-Asn
Rfam family: tRNA
About the family: Transfer RNA (tRNA) molecules are approximately 80 nucleotides in length. Their secondary structure includes four short double-helical elements and three loops (D, anti-codon, and T loops). Further hydrogen bonds mediate the characteristic L-shaped molecular structure. tRNAs have two regions of fundamental functional importance: the anti-codon, which is responsible for specific mRNA codon recognition, and the 3' end, to which the tRNAs corresponding amino acid is attached (by aminoacyl-tRNA synthetases). tRNAs cope with the degeneracy of the genetic code in two manners: having more than one tRNA (with a specific anti-codon) for a particular amino acid; and 'wobble' base-pairing, i.e. permitting non-standard base-pairing at the 3rd anti-codon position.
Source: RNAcentral